Molecule: long non-coding RNA, 584 nt
Organism: Lutra lutra (Eurasian river otter)
Lineage: Eukaryota; Metazoa; Chordata; Mammalia; Carnivora; Mustelidae
Exons: 4
Source: RefSeq, a predicted model, not a curated record
AACUGAAGUAUAGAAGGUCACUUGUCCAGUGCCACUCAAUGAUUCUGGGUCCAUCAAGAGGAAUAAUUUCUCAUACAAUGAUGAUUGAACUUUCUCAAAGAAGAAAUAGAUUAGCUCCUAAGAACAGUCAUAAAGGACCCAGCGCACGGCAACUACUGAGCGAAGAAUUUUCCCUUGGGACCAGAUGAAGUGCCAAGAAAAGGUGUGUGGCAUCAGGAGUGAAGACAAACUCUGAGAGUCUUCUGCAGCGCUCAUCACAGAGAGGGAACCAUCAAGCCACUGAAUGUCAGGGAAGAGGAAAGGAAGAGCAGACAGGGGAGUCUCUGCAUUGUCUUUGGAUGGAGAACAAAGGUCAUAGGAAAGAGAGUUCGUGAAAACAAAUCUCUUUAAGUUGCUCCUGUCUCAGAAGGCUAUGUGUUCCUGAUGUGAACGGAUAAAUUCACCCCUGUGGUUGGUAUUUAUGGGAACGAAGGUGACAGGGAGCCAACCUUGCCCUUCAGGGCCUUUGAUCCAAACAAACCUACAUUGUCUGCAUCAAAAGGAGAGAAGAUUACAGAAUAAAAAUGUAGCAAAAGGAGAAAAGG